CAAUAGCGUAUAUUAAAGUUGUUGCAGUUAAAAAGCUCGUAGUUGGAUUUCUGUGAGAGUGCCGGUGUCGGCUGAUGCUUGUACGCAGGCGCUCUUACAUCCUUCUGUUAACUGUUCUUGGCAUUUUAUUGCUGGUUCAGGGCUCAGAUAUUUUACCUUGAGAAAAUUAGAGUGUUUCAGGCAGGCUUAUGCCGGAAUACAUUAGCAUGGAAUAAUGGAACAGGACCUGUGCGUCUCCCGGGGCGCCGGUCUCCGUUGUUGGUUUCGGGGACUAAUGUAAUGAUUAAUAGGGAUAGUUGGGGGCAUUAGUAUUUAAUAGUCAGAGGUGAAAUUCUCGGAUUUGUUAAAGACUAACUUAUGCGAAAGCAUUUGCCAAGGAUGUUUUCAUUA
RNAcentral lists this ribosomal RNA (390 nucleotides) under uncultured eukaryote. RNAcentral's name for it is "partial 18S ribosomal RNA". It matches the Rfam family "Eukaryotic small subunit ribosomal RNA", at positions 592 to 975 of the family's 1831-position model. The record is from RNAcentral.